AUCGCUUCUCGGCCUUUUGGCUAAGAUCAAGUGUAAUAUGGUAUCUUGACUGUUUCUUUCACUAAAAUUUUCAGGAUGAAGUCCUU
This 86-nucleotide small RNA is filed under the name Marmota monax (woodchuck). RNAcentral describes it as "U2 spliceosomal RNA". Lineage: Eukaryota; Metazoa; Chordata; Mammalia; Rodentia; Sciuridae. The record is from Rfam by way of RNAcentral.